RNAcentral lists this unclassified non-coding RNA (354 nucleotides) under soil metagenome. RNAcentral's name for it is "partial contains 5.8S ribosomal RNA, internal transcribed spacer 2, and large subunit ribosomal RNA". The stretch from base 1 to 120 matches the Rfam family "5.8S ribosomal RNA", at positions 35 to 154 of the family's 154-position model. The record is from RNAcentral.
GAUGAAGAACGUAGUGAAAUGCGAUAAGUAAUGUGAAUUGCAGAAUUCAGUGAAUCAUCGAAUCUUUGAACGCACAUUGCGCCCACUAGUAUUCUGGUGGGCAUGCCUGUUCGAGCGUCAUUUCAACCCUCAAGCCUUAGUUGCUUGGUGUUGGGAGCUUAUCUUGCCGAAAGGCGGACAACUCCUUAAAACUAUUGGCGGAGUCGCGGUGACCCCAAGCGUAGUAAAUCUUUUUUUUCUCGCUUUAGGUGUUAACGCUGGCUUUCUAGCCGUUAAACCCUCUAAAUUUUUAGUGGUUGACCUCGGAUCAGGUAGGACUACCCGCUGAACUUAAGCAUAUCAAUAAGCGGAGGA